RNA transcript from Loxodonta africana (African savanna elephant), 3841 nucleotides. It is a transcript of the gene named mediator complex subunit 10, with no coding region annotated. The transcript has 4 exons. Lineage: Eukaryota; Metazoa; Chordata; Mammalia; Proboscidea; Elephantidae. The record is from RefSeq and is a predicted model, not a curated record.
CCGGAAGCGCGCAGCGGGCCGGGUCGCGGUUGUUGGGGCGGCUGGUGCGUUCGAGUGCGCGGCCAUGGCGGAGAAGUUCGACCACCUGGAGGAGCACCUGGAGAAGUUCGUGGAGAACAUCCGGCAGCUCGGCAUCAUCGUCAGCGACUUCCAGCCCAGCAGCCAGGCCGGGCUCAACCAGAAGCUGAAUUUUAUCGUUACUGGCUUGCAGGAUAUUGAUAAGUGCAGACAGCAGCUUCAUGAUAUUAUGGUACCCCUAGAAGUUUUUGAGUACAUAGAUCAAGGUCGAAACCCCCAGCUCUACACCAAAGAGUGCCUGGAGAGGGCUCUCGCGAAAAACGAGCAGGUGAAAGGCAAGAUUGACACAAUGAAGGUAAGGCAGGAGGAGAAAUUGGUGUCAGGACACGUGUGAGAAGAUCCUCGCAGGCCACAGGUUGCCUGACAGAGCCUGUCGUUCUUCCCCGAAAUUGCAGAACGUUGAUUCUUUCGUAAUGAGUUGUGAUAGGUGGUGAUGCUGAAUAUCUGUGAGUUGUGUGGUUGUCUUCUUUGAAGAAGUCCAGGUUAAUUUUUAUGAUUGUUUGUUGUCUCCAGUUAACUGCUCCCAUUUUUUAAAAAGAUUUUAGGUUCAUUUUCCAGUUCACACUUUUAUUGAUGCUUUCUGACUCCUGUGUUGAGGAUUUUUCUAGAGAUCAGGGUUCUCUGGUAUAGAGAAUUUGUGAACAUUUUCACUCACCACGAUCGUCUCCGGCUUCUGACCGCCAUACUCUUUGGUACCCUGUCCCCCUGAGCGUGUUUCCCACAGAGAACUUAUUCUCUGGUGUUCUUUACUUUGAUGAGAUUCAGAAAACGCUGUGCAUUUUGAACACGAACUACGUGAUUUUUUUUCCUACUUAAAUCGACUUAAACGUGGUUCAGGUUGGUAGGUGUUUUUUAGCUGGGCAGCCCAGCUCGCUUUGGUAGCUCCCCAUUUCUGCUCGAAUCCUUCUCACCUUGCCUGCAGCUGUGGAGCCCCUGCCCUACCCCCCGCGCCACCCGCCCCACCCACCCCACCCGCCGGCCUGCAUUCCGCAAGGCCUCCUUUCUUUCCUGGAAUACUCCAGACUCUGUUUCUGCGGGUUCUUUCUCUUGAUGCCUCCUCUGCUCUGAUCUCCUCCUCUCUUUUUCUCAGUUCUCUCCCCUCCACCAGCUGGUUAGGCCACAGGGUCACAGGGGACCUGGAUGUCUGUUCCUGUGAAGGCCCAUUGUCCACCCAGGGCCAGGCGGACACCUGGUGGCUGGGCAGUGUCUGUGAGCCUCUGGGUGCUCAGAGGGCACCUGGCCGAGGGGAGGCACAGGGCAGAGGCGGUGUGGAAUGGGUUUCACCUGACGGCCACACUGCUGUGGGAGCUGCAGCGUGUCCUAACGUCCCACCCAGCAGAUUUUGUGCCUGCUGAGAAAUGCCCCCAGAGGUGUUGCCAUGUCUUAGCUGAGAGGACGGAGCCCAGACGUCAUCACCGUGUUGCCAGUGCCUCGUGGGUCUGAGCGGCCGUGGGCUCAGUGUCUGUUCAGGGCGGGGUUCUGAGCAGUUGUGAGCUCAGCGUCUCAUUCACGUGGGGAUCUGAGCAGUUGUGGGCUCAGCGUCUUGAUCAGGUGCGGGUCUGAGCGGUCGUGGGCUCAGUGUCUUGUUCAGGCGGGGGUCUGAGCAGUCGUGGGUCCAGCGUCUGGUUCAGGCAGGGGUCUGAGCGGUCGUGGGCUCGGUGUCUGGUUCGGGUGUGGGUCUGAGGGGUUGUGAGCUCAGUGUCUCGUUCAGGUGUGGGUCUGAGUGGUUGUGAGCUCAGUGUCUUGUUCAGGUGUGGGUCUGAGCAGUCAUGGGCUCAGUGUCUCAUUCAGGUGUGGGUCUGAGCGGCCAUGGGCUGAACGUCUCGUUCAGGUGUGGGUCUGAGAAGUCAUGGGCUCAGUGUCUCGUUCAGGUGUGGGUCUGAGCAGUCGUGGGCUCAGCGUCUUGUUCAGGUGUGGGUCUGAGCUGCCAUGGGCUCGGCGUCUCGUUCAGGCCUGAGGCAGCCCCCCUGCAGCUCUGGUAUCAGGUGGCAUCUUAUCAGUAGCCAGUUGGGACAGUUUUGUUCUGCUUGAAAAAGAGGACUGGGUAGUGUUGUCGAGCAGUUACCUCUCUGUAUUGUGGCUGCUGAUACACGUGUGAUGUGCUCUCCGUUUCCACUGGGCUUCUGGUAAAAACCCCACACCUGUGGCACGUCAGAAAGCCCACCGAGGGCAGCAGGGCCGCGUGGCCGCUCAGUUAGUCUUGCCUCUGGUUUGGUUGCCAUUUGGUGCCGUUUUCUUCCAGCUGAGUUCUGCCAAAGUCGCAAGUCACAGCUCUGAGGCCUCUGUUUUCCUGGUGCGCCCUGCACUUAGACAUCAAAAGUCAGGUUUUAAUGAUUGUUGUGAGCUCAAGGUCUCCUGUGGAAAUUGAUUUUAAACGGUUCAGGUGUAUUUUGUGUCUGUCCAUUGUUCUGUGUUUUAUAUAAAAGUAAAAAAAAAAACAAAAGCUAAACCCCGUUAUUUUUGAGUUGAUUCCAACUCCUAGCUGCCCUGUAGGACAGAGUAGAGCUGCCCCACAGGGUUUCCGUGGUUGGAAAUUUUGACGGAAGCAGACUGCCACGUCUUUUUCCCGAGGAGUGGCUAGAGGGUCCCGACUGCCGACCUGUCCGUUAGCACCUGGGUGCUUAACCACUACCUCACCAGGGCUCCUUUCUUUUUAGUAUAGCUGCGAAGGAAAAGGUUUUGGGAUUGGCAGGCACUUACCUGCUUUGAAGGUGGGGCUGAAGCAGAUGUUGCUCGGGUGAGUCAGUCAGGACGCGGUGACGUCUGACAGGUGUCAGGUGCUCCGAGAGCUUCCCGUGUCUGCAGACGGGCUCACGUGGCUGAGUGAAUCGUGCCUUCAUCCUGUGUCACGUCGGACUGCCGGACGCGUGCCGUCUGCAGAGUUACCUCCGCCUGCGUGGCUGGCGGCCUACAAGAGGUGCUUGUCUGAAAUUUGAAGCAGGAGGGGAGAAGUCGUGUUUGAAUGUGUGCCCCUCUUCCGGAUGGGUGUCUGUGCACCUCUCGUUGUGGCUGCAAAACCUCGCUUGUGAUGGGCCUGCCCGGCGUUGUUCGUGGGCACUGGGUGAGCAGGCAGGAACCUGCACCCAGGGUGAGCCACACUGCAGGGGCUGCUCCUCUGGAUGAACCUACUCAGAAAUUUAAAAACCUGUUGAUUCAAGAACUUUCUAAAGUAUUCCCAGAAGACAUGGCCAAGUAUCGGAGCAUCCGAGGGGAGGACCACCCCCCUUCCUAACUGUCCUGUUGUUCCUGUCUGAAGAUGCUGACCUGGGCCUUUAUUGAUCGCCAUGACUGUGACACAGGUCUGACUGUGAGCUCAUGCCGACAUCGCCUUCAUGCUGAUGGGGCGGCCCUCAGCCUCAGCCACCUCGAGUGAGGCAGCUGGAAGAGGUAAAGGCGGUGCUGUCUGACCCUGAGUGCGUUUGUCUCCUCUUCAAGCCUCAGACGCCCGGGGCCACACAGCUCUGAGUGCGGUUUUGGCUUCCUGUCCGUGGGGAAUACCCAUUUCCCAUUGUCAUCGAGUCGAUUCUGUCUCAUGGAGACCCUAUAGGGCAGGGUAGAACUGCCCUAUAGAGUUUUCAAGGCUAUAAUCUUUAAGAAAGCAGACUGCCACAUCUUCCGCGGAGCGGCUGGUGGGUUCAAACUGCCAACAUUUCUGUUAGCAGCCAAGUGCUCAACCACUGCGCCACCAGGGCUCUGUGGGAAAUAGGGCCCAGAAAAUACUUAUGGAAAUAUGAUUUAUAAAUUAAAGUUUUUUUAAAAAUUA